Molecule: long non-coding RNA, 214 nt
Filed under: Mytilus galloprovincialis (Mediterranean mussel)
Lineage: Eukaryota; Metazoa; Mollusca; Bivalvia; Mytilida; Mytilidae
Source: RNAcentral
UGGCCCUCAAUAAUGACGACUUCAGUAUGUAUACUAAAGAAAUUUAUCUUGUUGAACUUACUUUAAAUAAAGCUAAUACUAGCCAUGACUACUGCCCUUUCCUUUCCUCGAUCUUUAUCAUUAACGGGAAGCUUAAUACAAAAAUUUAUGAUAAAAGAGAUGAUUUUUCAUUUCCUUAUUCGUUAAUUAUCCAUUUUUAGAUGGUAAAGUUCCC